GAGAGUUCAGUGAACUCCCGGUGCAAGAUGGUAUCUUAGAGAAGGUGCUGUGUCUCUUAAAGGGUCCACGACUCCUCUUUUGACCAUGCCGCCACCGCCGCCCGCAGUACCGGUGUCUGCUGCUGGGAGUGCCUCGGGGAACCCGGAGAGCCCCUCUUCCUGGUUACUUCCGCUGGUUUUUUUCCUGGAAACUCGCUCCGAUGUCCCGAAAUGACUCAGCUGUAGUAAAUCUGCAACACAACGUGCGGAGGAAUUUUCAUCAGCAAACAUCAUUUAAAAGGAAAUUAAUGGCGAAAAUGGGGCAUUGGGAAACCAUGGGGGAGGGGGGAGACUGAGAGAAUGAGAAUGAAUAAUGGCAAAAUAAAUAAAUAAAUAAAUAAAUAAAAAUUUAAAAACCCUGGAAUAUGCCAAAAAUA
Molecule: long non-coding RNA, 416 nt
Filed under: Mus musculus (house mouse)
Lineage: Eukaryota; Metazoa; Chordata; Mammalia; Rodentia; Muridae
Description: predicted gene 4013 (Gm4013)
Source: RNAcentral